Molecule: long non-coding RNA, 511 nt
Filed under: Canis lupus dingo (dingo)
Lineage: Eukaryota; Metazoa; Chordata; Mammalia; Carnivora; Canidae
Description: lncRNA (ENSCAFG00020004300.1)
Source: RNAcentral
GGAUAAAAGCCUCGGCGGCUGCCGUGGGAACCGCGCUGUCGGGACUCGGCUACCCCUCGCCGGGAGGCCGUGCGAAGCAGCUCCCCGGGCAGCUCCCGGUCGCCUGGCGGCCGAGGCCGUGCCCGUGCCUUUUCCCUGCGGGGCCGCGGAGAGCGGAAGGCGGCAUCCAUCGCCCGCAAGGCCUGAGCGUCCGCUGCCCACCGGCCCAGCACAGGCCAUUAAAGCCGGAUGCGAACUUGGAUUCUGUGUGGCUGAUUGCGGAGCUGUCUGGACGCCCCGAGGUCCCGGAUCGGCGACCCCCGGUGGACAGAGAACUAGCGUAGCCGGACGACGAGCUUUCGCACCAAGGCCACCGGUUGCAGAAGCUGGGAGUGAAAUAAAGGCGCGCGCGCCGGGUCCUGCGCUCCUCCCCUACCGAGAUAGGAAGAAGGCAGAGUGCCCCAGCGCGCCCGCAGGUUAGGCUUCCCCACAAAGCCUGAGCAGCUUGUUGUGUUCGGAUACCGGAGCGUCG